Molecule: ribosomal RNA, 301 nt
Filed under: uncultured bacterium
Lineage: Bacteria
Description: partial 16S ribosomal RNA
Rfam family: Bacterial small subunit ribosomal RNA
Source: RNAcentral
CAGCCGCCGCGGGAAAACGUAGGUGGCAAGCGUUGUCCGGAAUUAUUGGGCGUAAAGGGCUCGCAGGCGGUUUCUUAAGUCUGAUGUGAAAGCCCCCGGCUCAACCGGGGAGGGUCAUUGGAAACUGGGAAACUUGAGUGCAGAAGAGGAGAGUGGAAUUCCACGUGUAGCGGUGAAAUGCGUAGAGAUGUGGAGGAACACCAGUGGCGAAGGCGACUCUCUGGUCUGUAGCUGACGCUGAGGAGCGAAAGCGUGGGGAGCGAACAGGAUUAGAGACCCGCGUAGUCCCUGUCUCUUAUAC